RNAcentral lists this ribosomal RNA (253 nucleotides) under uncultured bacterium. RNAcentral's name for it is "partial 16S ribosomal RNA". It matches the Rfam family "Bacterial small subunit ribosomal RNA", at positions 524 to 776 of the family's 1533-position model. The record is from RNAcentral.
UACGUAGGUGGCGAGCGUUGUCCGGAUUUACUGGGCGUAAAGAGCGCGCAGGCGGUCGUGCAAGUCGCGUGUGAAAGCCCCCGGCUUAACUGGGGAGGGUCACGCGAUACUGCUCGACUCGAAGGCAGGAGAGGGUAGUGGAAUUCCCGGUGUAGUGGUGAAAUGCGUAGAUAUCGGGAGGAACACCAGUGGCGAAGGCGACUACCUGGCCUGUUCUUGACGCUGAGGCGCGAAAGCUAGGGGAGCAAACGGG